CCUACGGGGGCUGCAGUGGGGAAUAUUGGGCAAUGGGCGCAAGCCUGACCCAGCAACGCCGCGUGAAGGAAGAAGGCUUUCGGGUUGUAAACUUCUUUUAAGAGGGAAGAGCAGAAGACGGUACCUCUUGAAUAAGCCACGGCUAACUACGUGCCAGCAGCCGCGGUAAUACGUAGGUGGCAAGCGUUGUCCGGAUUUACUGGGUGUAAAGGGCGUGUAGCCGGGCUGACAAGUCAGAUGUGAAAUCCCGUGGCUCAACCACGGAACUGCAUUUGAAACUGUCGGUCUUGAGUAUCGGAGAGGCAGGCGGAAUUCCUAGUGUAGCGGUGAAAUGCGUAGAUAUUAGGAGGAACACCAGUGGCGAAGGCGGGUUCCUGGACAUUAACUGACGCUGAGGCACGAAGGCCAGGGGAGCGAAAGGGAUUAGAUACCCUAGUAGUC
Molecule: ribosomal RNA, 441 nt
Filed under: uncultured bacterium
Lineage: Bacteria
Description: partial 16S ribosomal RNA
Rfam family: Bacterial small subunit ribosomal RNA
Source: RNAcentral